UACGGGGGGGGUAAGCGUUGUUCGGAAUUACUGGGCGUAAAGGGCUCGUAGGCGGCCAACUAAGUCAGACGUGAAAUCCCUCAGCUUAACUGGGGAACUGCGUCUGAUACUGGAUGGCUUGGAUUCGGGAGAGGAAUGCGGAAUUCCAGGUGUAGCGGUGAAAUGCGUAGAUAUCUGGAGGAACACCGACGGCGUAGGCAGCGCCCUGGCCGUUUUACCUGACGCUGAAGCACGAAAGCUGGGGGAGCGAACAGG
RNAcentral lists this ribosomal RNA (255 nucleotides) under uncultured bacterium. RNAcentral describes it as "partial 16S ribosomal RNA". It matches the Rfam family "Bacterial small subunit ribosomal RNA", at positions 524 to 776 of the family's 1533-position model. The record is from RNAcentral.